GUGUCAGCAGCCGCGGUAAUACGGAGGGGGCUAGCGUUGUUCGGAAUUACUGGGCGUAAAGCGCACGUAGGCGGACUGUUAAGUCGGGGGUGAAAUCCUGGGGCUCAACCUCAGAAUUGCCUCCGAUACUGGCAGUCUCGAGUGCGGGAGAGGUGAGUGGAAUUCCCAGUGUAGAGGUGAAAUUCGUAGAUAUUGGGAAGAACACCAGUGGCGAAGGCGGCUCACUGGCCCGUAACUGACGCUGAGGUGCGAAAGCGUGGGGAGCAAACAGGAUUAGAAACCCUCGUAGUCC
Molecule: ribosomal RNA, 292 nt
Filed under: uncultured bacterium
Lineage: Bacteria
Description: partial 16S ribosomal RNA
Rfam family: Bacterial small subunit ribosomal RNA
Source: RNAcentral